RNAcentral lists this ribosomal RNA (250 nucleotides) under uncultured prokaryote. RNAcentral's name for it is "partial 16S rRNA". It matches the Rfam family "Bacterial small subunit ribosomal RNA", at positions 525 to 775 of the family's 1533-position model. The record is from RNAcentral.
ACGUAGGUGGCAAGCGUUGUCCGGAAUUAUUGGGCGUAAAGCGCGCGCAGGUGGUAACUUAAGUCUGUUUUUAAAGUUCGGGGCUCAACUCUGUGAUGGAUUGGAAACUGUGUGUCUUGAGUACCGGAGAGGUAAGCGGAAUUCCCAGUGUAGCGGUGAAAUGCGUAGAUAUGGGGAGGAACACCAGUGGCGAAGGCGGCUUACUGGGCUGUAACUGACACUGAGGCGCGAAAGCUAGGGGAGCAAACGG